CUUUUUUUCUCUUUUGUUUUCCAUUGCCUGUCUUUUCUUUACGUAUUUCUUCUUUAAUCUUUCACUACACAUUUGUUUUCUUAUAGACGUUCUCCCUCUCUUUAUCUAUCUAUCUCUAUCUUUAUCUAUUUAUCUCUCCCUUUCUCUCCCUCGUUGAUUGUCAUUUGCACAGUCGAUCGUACGAGAAAGCGCAUCCAUCUUCUUGAAUCUCCGAAGUGUCACUCUGUUUCGUCUCCCCUUCUGCCAGAUUUACUAAGUGCAAUAACGUUCCCAUUUUCUUUAUACUCAAGCGACCGUUUUCUCUUGUAGGUGAUGCUGAUGGGGCCGUUCGUGUCUCGGGUAACUUCCCCUCAAGCUCACCUGAAGUAGCUCUCUAUCAGACUGUGAGAACGUUUUGUGUCCCUGAAGGAGUCUGGGUUUCCAUGGAGACUAUUAACAAAGGCUGAAUCCUCCUCUCCUAUGUUGAACCUUUAAGGCGACCAUCCACUCACCCAACACACCGCCACCUCGUCUCCUCACUCUUAAGAAGAUUAAAAACACUCAACAAAACCAAGAAAAACACUGAAGUAAUAAUAAUAUAAUCAAAGGCAAGACCAAAGACCGAAGCCCGCCACAAACACCACCAGGAAUCAUAAGCACGAGAUCACGAACACAGCCGAGAACAGGUGAAGAAAGAAAGGAAGGAAUGAAGGAAUGAAGGAGGGCAGCAGGAGUCUUAGCACGAGAUCACGAACGCAAGCCAAGAACAGAUGGAAGGAAAGGAAGGAAGGAAGGCAUGCACGUAAUGAAGAACUUAAUGAGACCUUCCUGGAUAUACCUGCCCACAUCACGCUUAUUCCGCACAGAGGUAAGAUGACGUGCCUGGGGCCUCGCUGCGUGCAAUAUUCUCUCAGGCGCAAGGAGAAAGAGGAUAAGGAGGAAGAGCAAGGAAGAUCAUG
Molecule: long non-coding RNA, 938 nt
Organism: Eriocheir sinensis (Chinese mitten crab)
Lineage: Eukaryota; Metazoa; Arthropoda; Malacostraca; Decapoda; Varunidae
Exons: 4
Source: RefSeq, a predicted model, not a curated record